This is a long non-coding RNA of Sebastes umbrosus (honeycomb rockfish), 1570 nucleotides long. RefSeq lists it as uncharacterized. The transcript is spliced from 2 exons. Lineage: Eukaryota; Metazoa; Chordata; Actinopteri; Perciformes; Sebastidae. The record is from RefSeq and is a predicted model, not a curated record.
ACAUUCUAAAUGACGGAUGGACAACUAAGGGUGCUUUCACAUUAGGGACCCGGGCCCAGAUCCGAGUACACUCGUCCCCAAAGUCCAGUUCGAUUGAUUAGUGUGAUUGCUCCGUACCGUACUCGGGAACGGUUCGUCGAUCCGUACCCGAGUCCACCUGAAAAGGUGGUCUGGACUACGGAUCAUGUGUACUCAGGUACGGUUCGCAUCAAGUGUGAAAGCCAACGGUACCAAAACACGGAAGUGGACCGCUAUUUAACGCGAGUAACGUUAGCAGAUAGCGAUUACUUUUGACAGGUCAAGCUUUUUUCAACGCCGCCGGUCUCCUCCAAAAUCUGUAUACAUAAAAAAGUUUCAUAUCUAUCGAUAUCGAUCUCAUCCUCUGAACUGCACGGCUGUGGAUGAUACAGCAGGAAGGCCGGCUAGAGGUUCCUUAAAACAUAGACAAUAGGCGAUGGGGUUGAGUGAUGUUUGUUAUUUUAUUUAGCUAAUUUAAUGGUCUGUCUGCGAAGAACGAGAGACGCUCAGUUUUUCAGUGGGCAGAGAGAGAGAGACGGGGGUGCGGGGGAAACAACGUGUACAGUUGUCCUACUUUCACAUCAAACUCUAAAGACAUUAAAUAGCCUAUAUUAUCAUAUCUGUUAUGCAAAGAAAGCAAACAUAAAGCUAAAAAUUCACGAAUCUGCUGUGAAUUGCAAAGUUAAAAUGUUAAACUGUUAAAAAAAAUUUCAUUUAACUAUACAGGGAACACAUUCAACCGUAACAUAGGGCCUAUUUGAAGACAACGCAUCAAACCUGAACCUGCGUAAAACCAUUGCUUACCACACACUGCAUUAUGGAUAAUGAUUGAAUAACCUACAAUGCAUAGGCAUAAAAACAACAACCUGCAGUAGUUAAUAUCUAAUUAUAUAUUUUUUUAAUAAUAUCUAAAAAAAAAAUGCAUUAGAAGAAUAAAACCUAUAAAUAACCAUUGUUAUUUCACAAUCCAUGCUGUCCCACAUUAGGCAAAUCAUCCUGUCCCACUUUUCAAAACCAUAUUAAUUUUCCCAAGUGGGACAAUGAAAGAUUUGAUUGAAAUAACACCAUAUUAUAAUAUUUUUUGAUGAAAAAGCAUAUCAUAAACAUAUCCUGAUAACAAAAUUGUUUUAUUUAUAAGAAAUGUAUACCCUUAACAUUAAGUUUGUCUAAACAUUAUGUUACUGACCUUCUUGUUUGAAGAUUGCUACACCCUAAUCUAUGAUUGGACAUUUGAGAAGUCAUGUGAUUUUGAUCACAUGACACCACAGCUUGUAGUAACCAAUAGCUUUAUUGUCUUUUAUUUGUUUGAGGAAGACCUUAGGUCUUUUUCAUUGUGCUAACGUGUGUCCUCGUUUCCUUUCCUCGCCUCCUCUCCUCCCAUCUUAGUCCCUCAACCCACUGGAGCUUAUAGGUGUCGCACAUUAUGACAACUCACCCUACACAAACCCAUUUUUAUAAGACAUUAAUAAAAGCUUACCAUUUUGGGGAUGUUCGGAAUGUCUAAUAAUUCUCUGAAAAAUGUUAAAUAAAUAAACCAAACAUUUACUAUUAA